Molecule: long non-coding RNA, 774 nt
Organism: Zalophus californianus (California sea lion)
Lineage: Eukaryota; Metazoa; Chordata; Mammalia; Carnivora; Otariidae
Exons: 4
Source: RefSeq, a predicted model, not a curated record
AUGGCAGAUACCGAAUGUCAGUGAUCUUUAUUCUGUUCGAGGGCCGUUUUAGAGUGCCUACAAGGGACAUCGCGCCGGGGAGCGUUCUCUAUGCCGUCAGAGGAGAGGUGUACAAAGUGGCUGGAGGGACGGAGGUGAGAGGUCAGGAGGAACUUCCCCGGCAGAAGAGAUGUUAAGACACUGAUCUGUAUUCCUGAGGAGAGUGCCCACAGUCCAGAGUUUAUGGACGGAAGUGACGAUUCAGUGUGUAAACAUUAGUUGGGCCACCAUUAUGUUUGAGGCACUGUGUUCGAUGCCACGGGGAAAACAAAGAGGUGAAGAUUUUACCCCCUUGCCUUCAAAGAACUUGUCUGGAAGGAAGCUCGAACGUGACCACAUAAAAAGAUAACAGGAACCACCAUACUGUUUUCCAUAGUGGCUGUGUCAUUUUACAAUCCCGCUAAAAGUGCAUGACGGUUUCAAUUUCUCCAAAUCCUCCUGAACGUUAUUUCGGGCUUUUUUGUUGCCGUUAAAGGAAGAGCAUCUUGAGUGGAGUCAGGAAGAGAGAACAAUGUCUGGGUGUAGAGAGGAGGCAGGCUUUUGUCGGAUCAGGUGACCCAGGCAGAAUGCUUUAAGGAAGGUGAAGCUGACAUGUUGUGCGGACCAGACAGGCAACAGGUGUGGGCCGAGUCUCCAAACCAAGAUCCUGAAGCAAUGUGCCUGGCAUCUGGAGAGCCUGAGGGCCACAGACGCACACGCCCCGCCCCCCUUAGCUAAAGUAAAGCUCUGCAGUUA